This 336-nucleotide unclassified non-coding RNA is filed under the name soil metagenome. Its description in RNAcentral is "partial contains 5.8S ribosomal RNA, internal transcribed spacer 2, and large subunit ribosomal RNA". The stretch from base 1 to 120 matches the Rfam family "5.8S ribosomal RNA", at positions 35 to 154 of the family's 154-position model. The record is from RNAcentral.
GAUGAAGAACGUAGCGAAAUGCGAUAAGUAAUGUGAAUUGCAGAAUUCAGUGAAUCAUCGAAUCUUUGAACGCACAUUGCGCCCGCCAGUAUUCUGGCGGGCAUGCCUGUUCGAGCGUCAUUUCAACCAUCAAGCCCCAGGCUUGUGUUGGGGACCUGCGGCUGCCGCAGGCCCUGAAAACCAGUGGCGGGCUCGCUGUCACACCGGGCGUAGUAGAUUUUAUCUCGCUCAGGGCGUGCUGCGGGUUCCGGCCGUUAAAAAGCCUUUUUUACCCAAGGUUGACCUCGGAUCAGGUAGGAUUACCCGCUGAACUUAAGCAUAUCAAUAAGCGGAGGA